AUUGAACGCUGGCGGCAUGCCUUACACAUGCAAGUCGAACGGCAGCACGGGAGCAAUCCUGGUGGCGAGUGGCGAACGGGUGAGUAAUAUAUCGGAACGUGCCCGGUCGUGGGGGAUAACGUAGCGAAAGCUACGCUAAUACCGCAUACGAUCUACGGAUGAAAGCGGGGGAUCGCAAGACCUCGCGCGAUUGGAGCGGCCGAUAUCAGAUUAGGUAGUUGGUGAGGUAAAGGCUCACCAAGCCGACGAUCUGUAGCUGGUCUGAGAGAACGACCAGCCACACUGGGACUGAGACACGGCCCAGACUCCUACGGGAGGCAGCAGUGGGGAAUUUUGGACAAUGGGCGAAAGCCUGAUCCAGCAAUGCCGCGUGCAGG
This 377-nucleotide ribosomal RNA is filed under the name uncultured bacterium. RNAcentral's name for it is "bacterial SSU rRNA". It matches the Rfam family "Bacterial small subunit ribosomal RNA", at positions 30 to 407 of the family's 1533-position model. The record is from RNAcentral.